UGUGGCCCGCAUGGAAGCUGUGAUGGCUUCCAUGGGGCUGCUGUGGUCAGGAAGGAGCUGAAGGGAGUGCUCUCCUGGACAGCUGCCAUCCUGGUUGCUGCAACUGAUCUGUAACAUUUGGGGAAAAUACAAGU
This is a small nucleolar RNA of Ailuropoda melanoleuca (giant panda), 134 nucleotides long. The record is from Ensembl. Lineage: Eukaryota; Metazoa; Chordata; Mammalia; Carnivora; Ursidae.